Molecule: long non-coding RNA, 1365 nt
Filed under: Marmota monax (woodchuck)
Lineage: Eukaryota; Metazoa; Chordata; Mammalia; Rodentia; Sciuridae
Source: RNAcentral
UAACAAUGUAAAUUUUAUAAACUUACUGUUUUCUGCCUCUUGCUGAAUGCAAAAUUUUACAGUUGUAUCAUUCUGAUAUAAGUAAUCAUAAAAGGAACACUUUGUCUUUUAGAGAAGUAUUGUUCUUUGAAAAGUUAUAAGAAAUUGUCUUUAGUUCUUGGAUUGUGACUAACAUUUCAUGUAAAUAGUUGCUAAAAUUAUGCAGUUAGGUGAGACCUAUUAAUGACACCUUAAAAAGGUUUUGUGCUGUUGUCAGCUUGGAAAAUAUGUCUUCUGGAAGCUGUAAUGAGAUUAUCUCAUUAACCCUGGAACAGUCAAAUUAUUCACUGUUUUGUGUGCUUAAACCAAACUAGAAAAUAGUGCACAAUCAUUAAAUGAAUUAUCUUUUCUUAGUAAAGUACCAAGCACUCCACGUUGUACAGCCUCUAAACCAACAGAAAGGUGAUUCCUGGUCCAUCAAGACAGUAGUAAUUAGAGAGACAUAAAUAACUCUGUGGUUAAUAAAACAUCCAUCCUUAUACAAAUUUGUCAGCAGUAAUGGAUUUCUGAACACACCCACACCAGAGGUAAUUAAAAUUCUAUAAGUACAUUCAAAGGUUAAUUUAUACUUAAGAAUUAAAGAAUUAUCACCUGUCCCCAGCCUAGACUAUGAAGGCAUAUUGAGUCAGAAACUUUUUUUUUUUUGGGGGGGGGUACUAGGAGUGAAUCCAGAUCCAAGGGUGUUUUACCACUGAACCACACCCCCCCCCCCCAGUCCUUUUUAUUUCUUACUUUCUUGCUAACUUGAUGAAGGUCUGGCCAACUUGCUGAGGCUGGCCUUGAACUUGUGAUCCUCUAGUCUCAGUUCCCCUCCAUCCACCCCCAAUGCUGAGUCACUGAAAUUACAUGGAUGUGUCCCCACUUCUGACUCUAAAGUCAGAAUUUUUAUAUAUUUAUUGUGUGUGUGUGUGUGUGUAUGUGUGUGUAGUGCUGGGAAUUGAACCCAGGGCCUUGUGCAUGCAAGGCAAGUACUUUACUGAUUCAGCUAUAUCCCCAGACAAGUCAGAAAUUUUCUAUCACUGUUGAUUUUUAUGUUUUGGGGAGAAACCAUAGUGCUGUUUUAAUAAGGAACCAACGUUUCUCACUUUACUAGCAUUUACAUUACUAAGGACAUUGGUAAUACCAUCCAAAAGCUAUGUAAAGUACCAAGUACCCCUCUAAACCAACAGAAAGGUGAUUCUUGAUCCAUCAAGAAGGUAGUAUUUACCCCUAAGCAAUGAUUUUGUAAAUAUAUACAAUUUUAGUUUUAUGCCAUGUAUCUAAUGUUUACAAAUUAACCUUUAACCAGUGACCCAAAGUCUUUUAGAUUCCUGUAAUACAGACUGC